This 253-nucleotide ribosomal RNA is filed under the name uncultured bacterium. Its description in RNAcentral is "partial 16S ribosomal RNA". It matches the Rfam family "Bacterial small subunit ribosomal RNA", at positions 524 to 776 of the family's 1533-position model. The record is from RNAcentral.
UACGUAGGGUGCAAGCGUUAUCCGGAAUUAUUGGGCGUAAAGAGCUCGUAGGCGGUUUGUCGCGUCUGCUGUGAAAACUGGAGGCUCAACCUCCAGCCUGCAGUGGGUACGGGCAGACUAGAGUGCGGUAGGGGAGAUUGGAAUUCCUGGUGUAGCGGUGGAAUGCGCAGAUAUCAGGAGGAACACCGAUGGCGAAGGCAGGUCUCUGGGCCACUACUGACGCUGAGAAGCGAAAGCAUGGGGAGCGAACAGG